UACGUAGGGGGCUAGCGUUGUCCGGAAUCAUUGGGCGUAAAGAGCGUGUAGGCGGCCCGGUAAGUCUGCUGUGAAAGUCGGGGGCUCAACCCUCGAAUGCCGGUGGAUACUGUCGGGCUAGAGUGCGGAAGAGGCGAGUGGAAUUCCUGGUGUAGCGGUGGAAUGCGUAGAGAUCGGGAAGAACAUCUGUGGCGAAGGCGGCCAGCUGGGCUGUUGCUGACGCUGAUGCGCGACAGCGUGGGGAGCAAACAGG
RNAcentral lists this ribosomal RNA (253 nucleotides) under uncultured bacterium. Its description in RNAcentral is "partial 16S ribosomal RNA". It matches the Rfam family "Bacterial small subunit ribosomal RNA", at positions 524 to 776 of the family's 1533-position model. The record is from RNAcentral.